CAAAGGUAUUUGUGGUUUUUG
RNAcentral lists this microRNA (21 nucleotides) under Homo sapiens (human). RNAcentral's name for it is "hsa-miR-548m". Its record names the gene hsa-miR-548m. The record is from miRBase by way of RNAcentral. Lineage: Eukaryota; Metazoa; Chordata; Mammalia; Primates; Hominidae.